This 468-nucleotide ribosomal RNA is filed under the name uncultured bacterium. RNAcentral's name for it is "partial 16S ribosomal RNA". It matches the Rfam family "Bacterial small subunit ribosomal RNA", at positions 28 to 507 of the family's 1533-position model. The record is from RNAcentral.
GACGAACGCUGGCGGCGUGCUUAACACAUGCAAGUCGAACGGAAAGGCCCUGCUUUUGUGGGGUGCUCGAGUGGCGAACGGGUGAGUAACACGUGAGUAACCUGCCCUUGACUUUGGGAUAACUUCAGGAAACUGGGGCUAAUACCGGAUAGGAGCUCCUGCUGCAUGGUGGGGGUUGGAAAGUUUCGGCGGUUGGGGAUGGACUCGCGGCUUAUCAGCUUGUUGGUGGGGUAGUGGCUUACCAAGGCUUUGACGGGUCGCCGGCCUGAGAGGGUGACCGGCAACAUUGGGCCUGGGAUACGGCCCAGACUCCUACGGGAGGCAGCAGUGGGGAAUAUUGAACAAUGGGCGGAGGCCUGAGGCAGCAACGCCGCGUGCGGGAGGACGGCCUUCGGGUUGUAACCCGCUUUCGCCUGUGACGAAGCGUGAGUGACGGUAGUGGGUAAAGAAGCACCGGCUAACUACGUG